This 481-nucleotide ribosomal RNA is filed under the name uncultured bacterium. RNAcentral's name for it is "partial 16S ribosomal RNA". It matches the Rfam family "Bacterial small subunit ribosomal RNA", at positions 28 to 507 of the family's 1533-position model. The record is from RNAcentral.
GAUGAACGCUGGCGGCGUGCUUAACACAUGCAAGUCGAACGAAGCAUUUGCGACAGAUUUUUUCGGAAUGAAGUUGCUUAUGACUGAGUGGCGGACGGGUGAGUAACGCGUGGGUAACCUGCCUUGUACUGGGGGAUAGCAGCUGGAAACGGCUGGUAAUACCGCAUAGGCGCACAAUGUUGCAUGACAUGGUGUGAAAAACUCCGGUGGUAUAAGAUGGACCCGCGUCUGAUUAGCUAGUUGGUGAGAUAACAGCCCACCAAGGCGACGAUCAGUAGCCGACCUGGGAGGGUGACCGGCCACAUUGGGACUGAGACACGGCCCAGACUCCUACGGGAGGCAGCAGUGGGGAAUAUUGCACAAUGGAGGAAACUCUGAUGCAGCGACGCCGCGUGAGUGAAGAAGUAAUUCGUUAUGUAAAGCUCUAUCAGCAGGGAAGAUAGUGACGGUACCUGACGAAGAAGCACCGGCUAAAUACGUG